GCCUUCGUGGUGUAGUGGUCAGCACGCUCGGCGCGUAUUCGAGAGGUCCGAGGUUCGAGUCCCGGCGAGGCA
This 72-nucleotide transfer RNA is filed under the name Stegodyphus mimosarum. It matches the Rfam family "tRNA". Rfam says of the family: Transfer RNA (tRNA) molecules are approximately 80 nucleotides in length. Their secondary structure includes four short double-helical elements and three loops (D, anti-codon, and T loops). The record is from Rfam by way of RNAcentral. Lineage: Eukaryota; Metazoa; Arthropoda; Arachnida; Araneae; Eresidae.